CCUACGGGAGGCAGCAGUGGGGGAUAUUGCACAAUGGGGGGAACCCUGAUGCAGCGACGCCGCGUGGGUGAAGAAGCGCCUCGGCGCUUAAAGCCCUGUCAGCAGGGAAGAAAAUGACGGUACCUGAAGCAGAAGCCCCGGCUAACUACGUGCCAGCAGCCUCGGUAAUACGUAGGGGACAAGCGUGAUCCGGAUUUACUGGGUGUAAGGGGGGCGCAGACGGCGAUGCAAGCCAGGAGUGAAAGCCCGGGGCCCAACCGGGGGACUGCUCUUGAAACUGCGUGGCUGGAGUGCAGGAGGGGAAGGCGGAAGUCCUGGUGUAGCGGUGAAAUGCGUAGAUAUCAGGAGGAACACCGGUGGCGAAGGCGGCCUGCUGGACUGCAACUGACGUUGAGGCCCGAAAGCGUGGGGAGCAAACAGGAUGAGAUACCCUUGUAGUC
Molecule: ribosomal RNA, 440 nt
Filed under: uncultured bacterium
Lineage: Bacteria
Description: partial 16S ribosomal RNA
Rfam family: Bacterial small subunit ribosomal RNA
Source: RNAcentral